Molecule: ribosomal RNA, 460 nt
Filed under: uncultured bacterium
Lineage: Bacteria
Description: partial 16S ribosomal RNA
Rfam family: Bacterial small subunit ribosomal RNA
Source: RNAcentral
CCUACGGGAGGCAGCAGUGAGGAAUAUUGGUCAAUGGACGAGAGUCUGAACCAGCCAAGUAGCGUGAAGGAUGACUGCUCUAUGGGUUGUAAACUUCUUUUAUAUGGGAAUUAAUCGUUCUACGUGUGGGAUUUUGUAUGUAUCAUAUGAAUAAGGAUCGGCUAAUUCCGUGCCAGCAGCCGCGGUAAUACGGAGGAUCCGAGCGUUAUCCGGAUUUAUUGGGUUUAAAGGGUGCGUAGGUGGAUUGUUAAGUCAGUUGUGAAAGUUUGCGGCUCAACCGUAAAAUUGCAGUUGAAACUGGCAGUCUAGAGUACGGUAGAGGUAGGCGGAAUUCGUGGUGUAGCGGUGAAAUGCUUAGAUAUCACGAAGAACUCCGAUUGCGAAGGCAGUUCACUGGACUGCAACUGACACUGAGGCUCGAAAGUGUGGGUAGCAAACAGGAUUAGAUACCCUUGUAGUC